This 849-nucleotide long non-coding RNA is filed under the name Phoenix dactylifera (date palm). RNAcentral's name for it is "long non-coding RNA (PDAC_LNC017568)". Lineage: Eukaryota; Viridiplantae; Streptophyta; Magnoliopsida; Arecales; Arecaceae. The record is from RNAcentral.
UCGAGUCGACUCCCGCAAUACGCGAGUCGACUCCGAGACUGAGCGACCAUCAACAGACAGAAGACCAUGUUACUGCCUCUGAGAUUCGAGUCGACUCACAGACAGCUCGAGUCGACUCCAAGACAAGCUUCACGUCAAAAGGCAGAAGACCAACUUUCGGAAACUGAGAGCCGAGUCGACUCCAAGGAAGUUCGAGUCGACUCCAAGACUGGAUGAGCCAAAAGACAGAGAAUCGGGAGUUCGGGCUCUGAGAUUCGAGUCGACUCCAAGGACAGUCGAGUCGACUCGAGUGGACAAAAUUCAAAAUUGGAUCCACGGACUUCAGUGGAUGAGCCGACUCCAAAAUUUCCAGGUCAGCUCCAGAAGUUGGCGAGUCGACUCCAGGUCAAGACGAGUCGACUCCAAGUCAUGAAGGCAACUUUAAUUCAAAUCUGGAACAGUUGCCGAGUCGACUCCGGAAAAGCUCGAGUCGACUCCCGCUACAGCCGAGUCGACUCCUGAUCGCGCGAGUCGACUCCAACCCACCAACGGUCAUAUUGUCAGGCUGCGCAGAGUGUGCAGAACGGGCAGAAAAAGCAGUGUAACGGCUAGUUUCCGUGGGGGUUGGCUUAAAUAGCCACAGAAGACUGUAGCAAGGCAGAGAACAACCAUUCCACUCCAACUAAUCAAGCAUCCAAGCUCUGCAACGUGCUCUUCAACGAAAAAGAGGAAGAUCAGCAUUUACUGCAACCAACUACAUCUUCCCAGCAAUUAAAGCCUCCUCCUCCUGCAUUCAAGUCGACUACUCAUUCGAGAGGAGACCGGAGUUCAAGAAGCCAUUCCUCUACUUCAGCUUAAAAGCGUUUGAGG